This 446-nucleotide ribosomal RNA is filed under the name uncultured bacterium. Its description in RNAcentral is "partial 16S ribosomal RNA". It matches the Rfam family "Bacterial small subunit ribosomal RNA", at positions 354 to 796 of the family's 1533-position model. The record is from RNAcentral.
GUAGGGAAUAUUGGGCAAUGGAGGCAACUCUGACCCAGCCAUGCCGCGUGCAGGAAGACGGUCCUCUGGAUUGUAAACUGCUUUUGAAUGGGAAGAACAUACGGUUUGCGAACCGUACUGACGGUGCUAUUAGAAUAAGCACCGGCUAACUCCGUGCCAGCAGCCGCGGUAAUACGGAGGGUGCAAGCGUUAUCCGGAUUUAUUGGGUUUAAAGGGUGCGUAGGCGGCCUUAUAAGUCGGUGGUUAAAGGUAGCAGCUUAACUGUUUUACAUGCCAUCGAUACUGUAGGGCUUGAGUGAUUUGGAGGUAGCUAGAAUUCCCUGUGUAGCGGUGAAAUGCAUAGAUACGGGGAGGAAUACCGAUUGCGAAGGCAUGUUACUACGAAUUAACUGACGCUGAGGCACGAAAGCGUGGGGAUCAAACAGGAUUAGAAACCCUUGUAGUCC